CACAUUCCGAACCCGGAAGCUAAGACUCUCAGCGCUGAUGGUACUGCAGGGGGGACCCUGUGGGAGAGUAAGACACCGCCGGAC
This 84-nucleotide ribosomal RNA is filed under the name Cryobacterium sp. Lineage: Bacteria; Bacillati; Actinomycetota; Actinomycetes; Micrococcales; Microbacteriaceae. The record is from RNAcentral.